CAUCACUGGUGUUCGGGUUGUCAUGCCAAUGGCACUGCCCGGUAGCUAAAUGCGGAAGAGAUAAGUGCUGAAAGCAUCUAAGCACGAAACUUGCCCCGAGAUGAGUUCUCCCUGACCCUUUAAGGGUCCUGAAGGAACGUUGAAGACGACGACGUUGAUAGGCCGGGUGUGUAAGCGCAGCGAUGCGUUGAGCUAACCGGUACUAAUGAACCGUGAGGCUUAACCUU
Molecule: ribosomal RNA, 227 nt
Filed under: Escherichia coli
Lineage: Bacteria; Pseudomonadati; Pseudomonadota; Gammaproteobacteria; Enterobacterales; Enterobacteriaceae
Description: partial 23S ribosomal RNA
Rfam family: Bacterial large subunit ribosomal RNA
Source: RNAcentral